RNAcentral lists this transfer RNA (362 nucleotides) under uncultured Microcystis sp. RNAcentral describes it as "partial 16S-23S ribosomal RNA intergenic spacer". The stretch from base 135 to 208 matches the Rfam family "tRNA". Lineage: Bacteria; Bacillati; Cyanobacteriota; Cyanophyceae; Chroococcales; Microcystaceae. The record is from RNAcentral.
AAGGGAGACCUAAUUCAGGUAGGAGACGAAAAAAAAGUAGUCCCAACCAAGAAUCAAUCCCAAAAGGCCGGAGCGAGGCGAAAUUGGCUUUCAAACUAGGUUCUGGGUUCACACAAGACCUGAAUCAGGAACAAGGGCUAUUAGCUCAGGUGGUUAGAGCGCACCCCUGAUAAGGGUGAGGUCCCUGGUUCGAGUCCAGGAUGGCCCACCUGCACAGGUGGCAAAAACAAGAGAAGCGAGGAAUCAGCACCUUAUCUUAUCUAUAUAUAUAUAGGAGAGAGUGCUGGCUCUGAGUAAAGAGUCCAGAGGAACCUUGAAAACUGCAUAGAGCUAGGUGAAAAAGCCAAAAAAGAAGACCGCAA